AUUGAACGCUGGCGGUAGGCCUAACACAUGCAAGUCGAACGCGAAAGUCCUUCGGGAUGAGUAGAGUGGCGGACGGGUGAGUAACGCGUAGGAAUCUAUCCUGUAGUGGGGGAUAACGUUUCGAAAGGAACGCUAAUACCGCAUACGCCCCACGGGGGAAAGCGGGGGAUCUUCGGACCUCGUGCUAUAGGAGGAGCCUGCGUCGGAUUAGCUAGUUGGUGAGGUAAAGGCUCGCCAAGGCGACGAUCCGUAGCUGGUCUGAAAGGAUGAUCAGCCACACCGGAACUGAGACACGGUCCGGACUCCUACGGGAGGCGGCAGUGGGGAAUAUUGCGCAAUGGGGCGAAAAGCCUGACGCAGCCAUACCGCGUGUGUGAAGAAGG
This 383-nucleotide ribosomal RNA is filed under the name uncultured bacterium. RNAcentral's name for it is "bacterial SSU rRNA". It matches the Rfam family "Bacterial small subunit ribosomal RNA", at positions 29 to 414 of the family's 1533-position model. The record is from RNAcentral.